RNAcentral lists this ribosomal RNA (309 nucleotides) under uncultured eukaryote. RNAcentral's name for it is "partial 18S ribosomal RNA". It matches the Rfam family "Eukaryotic small subunit ribosomal RNA", at positions 1470 to 1796 of the family's 1831-position model. The record is from RNAcentral.
CCCUUAGAUGUUCUGGGCGGCCCGCGCGCUACAAUGGCGUGUGCAGCGAGUGCCGAAGUAGAGUUUUCCGAGGUAUUCUUGCAAUGCUCGUUUUGAUGGGGAUAGACCCUUGCAACUGUUGGUUUUGAACGAGGAAUUCCUUGUAAGCAUGGUUUAUCAUCCGACGCUGAAUGCGUCCCUGCCCUUUGUACACACCGCCCGUCGCUCCUACCGAUGAGUCGUCCGGUGAAGUUCGUAGACCUCGUGAUCGCGGAUCACUGGGGGAAGCAAAAUGAACCUCGCGGUUUAGAGGAAGGAGAAGUCGUAACA